UGAACGGAGAUUAGCCCAUCACCGAAGUCUAUNCGCGUUUGCGAACAGGACAAUGUGGUGUUAAGGUAUGCCCCUACGUCCGUCGACCUGUCCUAAGUCCAACUUCGAUUGCGGCUUAAAAUUGUCCAAAGCGGGUGCAAAGACCCGUUCGGGCAGGUUUAUUUGUACCCUANGCGGACCUAGAUGGGUGUGCUUUCGAGUCGGAUUGCUUGAGAAUGCAGUCCAAAGUGGGUGGUAAACUCCAUCCAAGGCUAAAUACUGGCACGAGUCCGAUAGUAGACAAGUACCGUGAGGGAAAGUUGAAAAGUACUCUGAAGAGAGAGUAAAUAGUACGUGAAGCCGCUUGCAGAGAAUCGGGUGGAGUCAAGCUUCAUGCUUGGAAGAUUGUCGUCCGGUCGUUAUUGUGUYGGGACGUGAGGUUUAGCAACUUGGAAUAAGUUGGAUGCAUUCGUGCAUUGCAAGUCUUUCCGGGGAGCUUGAUUGUCUGUACCUCUAUUUCCCUGACUGGGCGCCGAAUUUUUCCUAUGCAUAGAUCACGGUUGGUAGCGAGUUGUGUGUUGUGACUGUCAUACAGUGUUUUGGCUGACACUUGUUGGUCAUGCAUUGGAUGGGAGGUUGUGAYGGGAUUAGCUUGCCUGAGCCUGUUGCUUAACUUGGUUUCGACCAGCCGACGGUCAUGAUAUCAUAUNCCUUGUUACCUUUUGAUGAGGUGCCUGACCUAUACGGUAGGGUGCCANUCAAGGC
Molecule: ribosomal RNA, 744 nt
Filed under: Tetrancistrum sp.
Lineage: Eukaryota; Metazoa; Platyhelminthes; Monogenea; Dactylogyridea; Ancyrocephalidae
Description: eukaryotic LSU rRNA
Rfam family: Eukaryotic large subunit ribosomal RNA
Source: RNAcentral